RNAcentral lists this ribosomal RNA (495 nucleotides) under uncultured bacterium. Its description in RNAcentral is "partial 16S ribosomal RNA". It matches the Rfam family "Bacterial small subunit ribosomal RNA", at positions 28 to 507 of the family's 1533-position model. The record is from RNAcentral.
GAUGAACGCUGGCGGCGUGCCUAAUACAUGCAAGUAGAACGCUGAAGGAGGAGCUUGCUCUUCUGGAUGAGUUGCGAACGGGUGAGUAACGCGUAGGUAACCUGCCUGGUAGCGGGGGAUAACUAUUGGAAACGAUAGCUAAUACCGCAUGACAACAGUUAUUGCAUGAUAACUGUUUAAAAGGGGCAACUGCUCCACUACCAGAUGGACCUGCGUUGUAUUAGCUAGUUGGUGAGGUAACGGCUCACCAAGGCGACGAUACAUAGCCGACCUGAGAGGGUGAUCGGCCACACUGGGACUGAGACACGGCCCAGACUCCUACGGGAGGCAGCAGUAGGGAAUCUUCGGCAAUGGACGGAAGUCUGACCGAGCAACGCCGCGUGAGUGAAGAAGGUUUUCGGAUCGUAAAGCUCUGUUGUAAGAGAAGAACGAGUGUGAGAGUGGAAAGUUCACACUGUGACGGUAUUUUACCAGAAAGGGACGGCUAACUACGUG